CCUACGGGUGGCAGCAGUCGAGAAUCAUUCACAAUGGGGGAGACCCUGAUGGUGCGACGCCGCGUGGGGGAAUGAAGGUCUUCGGAUUGUAAACCCCUGUCAUGUGGGAGCAAAUUAAAAAGAUAGUACCACAAUAGGAAGAGACGGCUAACUCUGUGCCAGCAGCCGCGGUAAUACAGAGGUCUCAAGCGUUGUUCGGAAUCACUGGUCGUAAAGCGUGCGUAGGCUGUUUAGUAAGUCGUGUGUGAAAGGCGCGGGCUCAACCCGCGGACGGCACAUGAUACUGCGAGACUAGAGUAAUGGAGAGGGAACCGGAAGUCUGGGUGUAGCAGUGAAAUGCGUAGAU
RNAcentral lists this ribosomal RNA (346 nucleotides) under uncultured bacterium. Its description in RNAcentral is "partial 16S ribosomal RNA". It matches the Rfam family "Bacterial small subunit ribosomal RNA", at positions 338 to 695 of the family's 1533-position model. The record is from RNAcentral.